Molecule: ribosomal RNA, 775 nt
Filed under: uncultured Neocallimastigales
Lineage: Eukaryota; Fungi; Neocallimastigomycota; Neocallimastigomycetes; Neocallimastigales
Description: partial large subunit ribosomal RNA
Rfam family: Eukaryotic large subunit ribosomal RNA
Source: RNAcentral
UAUCUCUGUAGAGUCUGCAUAUCAAUAAGCGGAGGAAAAGAAACUAACUAGGAUUCCCUUAGUAACGGCGAGUGAAGCGGGAAGAGCUCAAAUUUGAAAUCCUCAAGGUUCUACCUUGACGAAUUGUAGUUUAAAGAAGUGUUUUCUGUUGGAGUUUUGGUAAAAGUUCUUUGGAAUAGGACAUCAUAGAGGGUGAGAAUCCCGUAUUUGACCAUUACUUCCAGCUUUGUGAUACACUUUCAAAGAGUCGGAUUGUUUGGGAAUGCAGUCCAAAAUGGGUGGUAAAUUUCAUCUAAAGCUAAAUAUUGGCGAGAGACCGAUAGCGAACAAGUACCGUGAGGGAAAGAUGAAAAGAACUUUGAAAAGAGAGUUAAACAGUACGUGAAAUUGUCAAAAGGGAAGCGUUUGACACCAGUGUUGUUUUUCCAAAAAUCAAUUACGAAUGGCUUGAUUUUGUGUUGUAUUGACCUUAUCAGCUUUCUGCACUUUUUUUGAGUCUUUCUUUAAUGCACUUUUUGGUUAACAAGUCAACAUCAAUUUCUUUUGUUGUAAAAGAGUAUUCGGAAGGUGGCUUUCUUUUCGGAGAAAGUGUUUAUAGCCCUAUACUUCUACAAUCGGAGAGAUUGAGGUCUGCAGCGUAGAUCCUUCGGGGUUAGAUACACUUGUGCUAAGUUGUAACUUUUCAUAGACAACUUGUUGACUAUGUUUAGUCAUGCGGCUUACUCGCUUGUGCUAUUUUACCUACGCUUAGGAUGUUGAAGAUGUAGCACAUCAU